UGAAUUGUGCAGAGAAUACAAACGUACAGGAUGAAACUGGAAAAGGAAAAACAGGAUAGAAGAGAGAAGAAGAAGAAGUCCAAACACUCCUCUAGAGACAGAGAGAAGGACUCUGAGCUGAACGGCAAGCACAAACCCUCCUCAAAGAUGAAGCCGUCAGACAGUCGAUCUGGAGUCAGCAGCAGCGCAGUGAACUGUGAAGCAGGAGCUGGUGACACGCACGAGGAUGUCAAAGUAGAUCCGGAUGAAAGAAAUGAUGGACAGCAGAAAUCAUGUUCUCCAGAAAUCAACAACAACAACCAAGAGAAGACCCGAUCAAAAAGCAGCAAGCAGCGUCACAAUCAUCAGGAGAGGACUGCGGAUGAGCAGCUCUGUGACGAGGAUGAAAACCUGCGAAGCCAGAGUUCCCGAGACUCAAAUCAGGUGCAGGCAGACGACGGUCCCCAGUGUGAGUCUGUCAAGAUGAAGAAGAAGAAGAGGGUCAAAGAGGAGAAGAGCCCAGAGAAACACGAUAAGAAUCCGCCGUCCGGGAGGAAGAGGAAAAAGAGCAGUUCUGAACAUGAUAAAGCAGAGAAGAACAAGAAGAUGAAGAAAGACGGAGACCCGGAGGAGAAGAAGAAGAAGGAAAAGGGGAAGAAGGACGAGGAGUCUGAUAAGUGGAAGUGGUACGUGUGCACUGGUUUCCUUCAGGUAGUCUUUAAUCAUCCAUUUGAUCGUUUUAACUCGUGUUCAGUUCAUUCAGUCAAUGUAUGAUGAGACUUGGUUUCAUUAGACAGAACGAAUGAUAUCCCAGACUUACAGAAGCUCGUUUUUGUCAC
Long non-coding RNA from Cyprinus carpio (common carp), 818 nucleotides. The record is from Ensembl. Lineage: Eukaryota; Metazoa; Chordata; Actinopteri; Cypriniformes; Cyprinidae.